This 500-nucleotide ribosomal RNA is filed under the name uncultured soil bacterium. RNAcentral's name for it is "bacterial SSU rRNA". It matches the Rfam family "Bacterial small subunit ribosomal RNA", at positions 300 to 792 of the family's 1533-position model. The record is from RNAcentral.
AUGAUCAGCCACACUGGGACUGAGACACGGCCCAGACUCCUACGGGAGGCAGCAGUUAGGAAUCUUGCGCAAUGCGCGAAAGCGUGACGCAGCAACGCCGCGUGGGGGAAGAAGGCUUUCGGGUUGUAAACCCCUUUCAGUUGGGACGAAGCUUCUCCGGUGAAUAGCCGGAUGGAGUGACGGUACCUUCACAAGAAGCACCGGCUAACUACGUGCCAGCAGCCGCGGUAAUACGUAGGGUGCAAGCGUUGUCCGGAAUUAUUGGGCGUAAAGAGCGUGUAGGCGGCCCCAUUAGUCCGCUGUGAAAGUCCAGGGCUCAACCCUGGAAUGCCGGUGGAUACUGUGGGGCUAGAGUCCGGAAGGGGCGAGUGGAAUUCCUGGUGUAGCGGUGAAAUGCGCAGAUAUCAGGAGGAGCACCAAUGGCGAAGGCAGCUCGCUGGGACGUGACUGACGCUGAGACGCGAAAGCGGGGGGAGCAAACAGGAUUAGAUACCCUGGUA